CUCUUAGAUCGAUGUGGUGCUCCGGAGUUCUCUUCGGGCCAGGGCCUAAGCCGCGCCAGGCGAGGGACGGACAUUCAUGGCGAAUGGCGGCCGCUCU
This 97-nucleotide small nuclear RNA is filed under the name Mus musculus (house mouse). RNAcentral describes it as "BC0711254 snRNA". The record is from RNAcentral. Lineage: Eukaryota; Metazoa; Chordata; Mammalia; Rodentia; Muridae.